Molecule: unclassified non-coding RNA, 337 nt
Filed under: soil metagenome
Description: partial contains 5.8S ribosomal RNA, internal transcribed spacer 2, and large subunit ribosomal RNA
Rfam family: 5.8S ribosomal RNA (bases 1-120)
Source: RNAcentral
GAUGAAGAACGUAGUGAAAUGCGAUAAGUAGUGUGAAUUGCAGAAUUCAGUGAAUCAUCGAAUCUUUGAACGCACAUUGCGCCCCUUGGUAUUCCAUGGGGCAUGCCUGUUCGAGCGUCAUUUGUACCUUCAAGCUUUGCUUGGUGUUGGGUGUUUGUCUCGCCUUUGCGUGUAGACUCGCCUUAAAACAAUUGGCAGCCGGCGUAUUGAUUUCGGAGCGCAGUACAUCUCGCGCUUUGCACUCAUAACGACGACGUCCAAAAGUACAUUUUUACACUCUUGACCUCGGAUCAGGUAGGGAUACCCGCUGAACUUAAGCAUAUCAAUAAGCGGAGGA